GGACGAACGCUGGCGGCGUGCCUAAUACAUGCAAGUCGAGCGCGGGAAGCGGACAAUCACCCUUCGGGGUGUGCGUCCGUGGAACGAGCGGCGGAUGGGUGAGUAUCACGUGGGCAACCUGCCUGUAAGAUUGGGAUAACUCGCGGAAACGUGAGCUAAUACCGAAUGAAGUCUUUCACCGCCUGGUGAAAGGAUGAAAGAUGGCUCUUGAGCUAUCACUUACAGAUGGGCCCGCGGCGCAUUAGCUAGUUGGUGGGGUAAAGGCCUACCAAGGCGACGAUCAGUAGCCGGCUUGAGAGAGUGACCGGCCACAUUGGGACUGAGACACGGCCCAAACUCCUACGGGAGGCAGCAGUGGGGAAUAUUGCACAAUGGGGGAAACCCUGAUGCAGCGACGCCGCGUGAGUGAAGAAGUAUUUCGGUAUGUAAAGCUCUAUCAGCAGGGAAGAAAAUGACGGUACCUGACUAAGAAGCCCCGGCUAACUACGUGCCAGCCGCAGC
Molecule: ribosomal RNA, 501 nt
Filed under: uncultured bacterium
Lineage: Bacteria
Description: bacterial SSU rRNA
Rfam family: Bacterial small subunit ribosomal RNA
Source: RNAcentral